AUGCAAGUCGAACGGUAACAGAGGAGCUUGCUCCUGCUGACGAGUGGCGAAAGGGUGAGUAACGCGUGAGUAACCUGCCUUAAGGCUGAGGAUAGCCCCGCGAAAGCGGGAUUAAUACCGAAUGUGGCGUCCCGCCAAACGACGGGAUUGCUAAAGGAGCAAUCCACCUUAAGAUGGGCUCGCGUCCUAUUAGCUAGUUGGUGAGGUAAUGGCUCACCAAGGCGAUGACAGGUAGGUGGUCUGAGAGGAUGGUCACCCACACUGGGACUGAGACACUGCCCAGACUCCUACGGGAGGCUGCAGUCGAGAAUCUUCCGCAAUGCGCGAAAGCGUGACGGAGCAAUGCCGCGUGAGGGAUGAAGGCUUUCGGGUCGUAAACCUCUGUCACCCGGAACGAAGAUCUGACGGUACCGGGAGAGGAAGUCACGGCUAACUACGUGCCAGCAGCCGCGGUAAUACGUAGGUGGCGAGCGUUAUUCGGAUUUAUUGGGCGUAAAGGAUCCGUAGGGGGUUUGUUAAGUUCGAUGUGAAAGCCCGAGGCUCAACCUCGGAACUGCAUUGGAAACUGACAGACUAGAGUAUAGGAGAGGAGAGUGGAAUUCCUGGUGUAGCGGUGGAAUGCGUAGAUAUCAGGAGGAACACCAAUGGCGAAGGCAGCUCUCUGGACUAUUACCGACC
RNAcentral lists this ribosomal RNA (678 nucleotides) under Lentisphaerae bacterium 7509. RNAcentral's name for it is "bacterial SSU rRNA". It matches the Rfam family "Bacterial small subunit ribosomal RNA", at positions 55 to 745 of the family's 1533-position model. The record is from RNAcentral. Lineage: Bacteria; Pseudomonadati; Lentisphaerota.